This 433-nucleotide ribosomal RNA is filed under the name uncultured bacterium. RNAcentral's name for it is "partial 16S ribosomal RNA". It matches the Rfam family "Bacterial small subunit ribosomal RNA", at positions 29 to 507 of the family's 1533-position model. The record is from RNAcentral.
AACGAACGCUGGCGGCAUGCCUAACACAUGCAAGUCGAACGAGACCUUAGGGACAGGUUGCGCAUGGGUGUGUCAAGCGUGGGAACCUGCCGUUAGGCAUGGAAUUCUUCCUUGACAGGGGUGCUAAUACCGGGUAAUGUAUUCGGAUACAAGAUAGAUCGCGUUUGGAUGGGCACGCGUUGGUUUAGCUUGUUGGUAGGGUAUAAGCCUAUCAAGGCGACGAUACAUAGCUGGUCUGAGAGGAAGGGCAGCCACACUGGGGCUGAGACACGGCCCGGACUACUGCGCGAGGCAGCAGUGGGGAAUAUUGGACUAUGGGGUAGAGCCUGAACCAGCUAUGCCGCGAGAGUGAUUAAGGCCUGAGAGAUGUAAAGCUCGUUUACCCGGCAUGAUAAUGACGGUACCGGAAGAAUAAGCACCGGCUAACUCCGUG